RNAcentral lists this long non-coding RNA (341 nucleotides) under Vulpes vulpes (red fox). Its description in RNAcentral is "lncRNA (ENSVVUG00000009576.1)". The record is from RNAcentral. Lineage: Eukaryota; Metazoa; Chordata; Mammalia; Carnivora; Canidae.
AGAGUAUAGAGAACAAGCUCCAGCAACACGAUGAACAAAAGGAAGCAAAGGAGAGGAUUCUACUUAUCUAUAACUCGUAAAAGCUGGAGAAUUUGCAUCAAUUAAUUUGUACAUCACACACAUUCCAAAGGAUGUUCUCAAAUAGGAAACAUACAAGAUGCUUUGAAGACUCUCUCAACUUCAUCUUCAAGAUAUAUUUGAGUCAACAUCUCUCUUGGCUAGUAGUUCUACACAUGUCCCAGAUUUUGGCAACCAUCAAGAAAGGGAGAGCUGAUUUUUUCUUCCAAUAUGAGUCCCCUCUGUGGGGCAACCCAGGUCUAUGCCCGAAGAGUGGGGAAAGG